RNAcentral lists this small RNA (103 nucleotides) under Salmonella enterica. Its description in RNAcentral is "partial RtT sRNA". It matches the Rfam family "RtT RNA", at positions 1 to 101 of the family's 130-position model. Rfam says of the family: This family represents a bacterial cis-regulatory element known as RtT RNA. The exact function of RtT is unknown although it is thought that it may be involved in changing the cellular response in relation to amino acid starvation. RNAcentral also lists the same sequence under 1 other name. The record is from RNAcentral. Lineage: Bacteria; Pseudomonadati; Pseudomonadota; Gammaproteobacteria; Enterobacterales; Enterobacteriaceae.
AUAUCUCUCCGUACGGGAAGGAUGAGAAGCUUCGACUAAGGUUCGAUUCGAGCGUCAGCGAGAAAGCGUUGCCGCAGGCAACGACCCGAAGGGCGAAGCGCGC